This 1175-nucleotide ribosomal RNA is filed under the name Listeria monocytogenes. Its description in RNAcentral is "partial 23S ribosomal RNA". It matches the Rfam family "Bacterial large subunit ribosomal RNA", at positions 1 to 1170 of the family's 2925-position model. The record is from RNAcentral. Lineage: Bacteria; Bacillati; Bacillota; Bacilli; Caryophanales; Listeriaceae.
GGUUAAGUUAGAAAGGGCGCACGGUGGAUGCCUUGGCACUAGGAGCCGAAGAAGGACGGGACUAACACCGAUAUGCUUUGGGGAGCUGUACGUAAGCGUUGAUCCAGAGAUUUCCGAAUGGGGGAACCCACUAUCUUUAGUCGGAUAGUAUCCUUACGUGAAUACAUAGCGUGAGGAAGGCAGACCCAGGGAACUGAAACAUCUAAGUACCUGGAGGAAGAGAAAGAAAAAUCGAUUUCCUGAGUAGCGGCGAGCGAAACGGAAAGAGCCCAAACCAAGAAGCUUGCUUCUUGGGGUUGUAGGACACUCUAUACGGAGUUACAAAAGAAAGUUAUAAAUGAAGCGGUCUGGAAAGGCCCGCCAAAGACGGUAACAGCCCGGUAGUUGAAAUGGCUUUCCCUCCAGAGUGGAUCCUGAGUACGGCGGAACACGUGAAAUUCCGUCGGAAUCCGGGAGGACCAUCUCCCAAGGCUAAAUACUCCCUAGUGACCGAUAGUGAACCAGUACCGUGAGGGAAAGGUGAAAAGCACCCCGGAAGGGGAGUGAAACAGUUCCUGAAACCGUGUGCCUACAAGUAGUUAGAGCCCGUUAAUGGGUGAUAGCGUGCCUUUUGUAGAAUGAACCGGCGAGUUACGAUUUGUUGCAAGGUUAAGCGGAAAAAGCGGAGCCGUAGCGAAAGCGAGUCUGAAUAGGGCGCAUAAGUAACAGGUCGUAGACCCGAAACCAGGUGAUCUACCCAUGUCCAGGAUGAAGGUAAGGUAAUACUUACUGGAGGUCCGAACCCACGCACGUUGAAAAGUGCGGGGAUGAGGUGUGGGUAGCGGAGAAAUUCCAAUCGAACUUGGAGAUAGCUGGUUCUCUCCGAAAUAGCUUUAGGGCUAGCCUCGAGGUAAAGAGUCAUGGAGGUAGAGCACUGUUUGGACUAGGGGCCCUUCUCGGGUUACCGAAUUCAGAUAAACUCCGAAUGCCAUGUACUUAUACUCGGGAGUCAGACUGCGAGUGAUAAGAUCCGUAGUCGAAAGGGAAACAGCCCAGACCACCAGUUAAGGUCCCCAAAUAUAUGUUAAGUGGAAAAGGAUGUGGGGUUGCUUAGACAACCAGGAUGUUGGCUUAGAAGCAGCCACCAUUGAAAGAGUGCGUAAUAGCUCACUGGUCGAGUGACCCCGCGCCGAAAA